Molecule: RNA transcript, 2041 nt
Organism: Mus musculus (house mouse)
Lineage: Eukaryota; Metazoa; Chordata; Mammalia; Rodentia; Muridae
Gene name: predicted gene 6548
Exons: 1
Source: RefSeq, marked provisional
UUAAGUUGCAUCUGUUGGGCUUUUAGUGACAAGAAAAGUAGCUAACAUACUGUUUACAGAAGUCAUGUCAACAAGAAGCACCCAUAAUGCCUUCAAAGGGAGAAUGAAUUUGAAAUGCUAUUUACUUAUUGGAGAAUGAACUGAAGCUAGAUGUAGUAACAGUAUAUUAACAGCAUGUUAAGAGAAAAAUAUUUUUUAAAUGUUUAUGGAAGGAAACCAUUCACAAGUUGAUAGAACAUUCCAGAGCAUACAAAACAAAAUCAUUUUUAAAGAUCCCCUCCCCGAUUUUUGGAAUCUCAGUAAGUAGGACAAGCUUUUACGCAAGGGGUUUGCCAUCAGAACGCAGGUGUUGGGAAAGCCACCGCUAAUUUAAAGCAAAAAUGGGGAAGGAAAAGACUCACAUCAACAUCGUCUCCGGCAAGUCCACCACAACCGGCCACCUGAUCUACAAAUGUGAUGGAAUCGACAAGCGAACAAUCGAAAAGUUUGAGAAGGAGGCUGCUGAGAUGGGAAAGGGCUCCUUCAAGUACGCCUGGGUCUUAGACAAACUGAAAGCUGAGCGUGAGUGUGGUAUCACUAUUGACAUCUAUCUCCCUGUGGAAAUUCGAGACCAGCGAAUACUACGUGACCAUCAUUGAUGCCCCAGGACACAGAGACUUCAUCAAAAACAUGACUACAGGCACAUCCCAGGCUGACUGUGCUGUCCCGAUUGUUGCUGCUGGUGUUGGUGAAUUUGAAGCUGGUAUCUCCAAGAAUGGGCAGACCCACGAGCAUGCUCUUCUGGCUUACACCCUGGGUGUGAAACAGCUGAUUGUUGGUGUCAACAAAAUGGAUUCUACCGAGCCACCAUACAGUCAGAAGAGAUGUGAGGAGAUCGUUAAGGAAGUCAGCACCUGCAUUAAGAAAAUUGGCUACAACCCUGACCCAGUAGCAUUUGUGCCAAUUUCUGGUUUGGAAUGGUGACAACAUGCUGGAGCCAAGUGCUAAUAUGCCUUGGUUCAAGGGAUGGAAAGUCACCUGCAAAGAUGGCAGUGCCAGUGGCACCACUCUGCUGGAAGCUUUGGAUUGUAUCCUACCACCAACUUGUCCAACUGACAAGCCUCUGCGACUGCCCCUCCAGGAUGUCUAUAAAAUUGGAGGCAUUGGCACUGUCCCUGUGGGCCGAGUGGAGACUGGUGUUCUCAAACCUGGCAUGGUGGUUACCUUUGCUCCAGUCAAUGUAACAACUGAAAUCAAGUCUGUUGAAAUGCACCAUGAAGCAUUGAGUGAAGCUCUUCCUGGGGACAAUGUGGGCUUCAAUGUAAAGAACGUGUCGGUCAAAGAUGUUAGAGAGGCAUUGUUGCUGGUGACAGCAAAAACGACCCACCAAUGGAAGCAGCUGGCUUCACUGCUCAGGUGAUUAUCCUGAACCAUCCAGGCCAAAUCAGUACUGGCUAUGCUCCUGUUCUGGAUUGUCACACAGCCCACAAAGCAUGCAAGUUUUUCUGAGCUUAAAGAAAAGAUCGAUCGUCGUUCUGGUAAGAAGCUGGAAGAUGGCCCCAAAUUCCUGAAGUCCGGUGACGCUGCCAUUGUUGAUUUGGUCCCUGGCAAGCCCAUGUGUGUUGAGAGCUUCUCUGACUAUCCUCUACUUGGUUGUUUUGCUGUUCGUGACAUGAGGCAGGCAGUUGCUGUGGGAGUCAUCAAAGCUGUGGACAAGAAGGCUGCUGGAGCUGGCAAAGUCACCGAGUCUGCCCAGAAAGCUCAGAAGGCUAAAUGAAUAUUACCCCUAACACCUGCCACCCCAGUCUUAAUCAGUGGUGGAAGAACGGCCUCAGAACUGUUUGUCUCAAUUGGCCAUUUAAGUUUAAUAGCAGAAGACUGGUUAAUGAUAACAGUGCAUCGUAAAACCUUCAGAAGGAAAGAAUGUUUUGUGAACCAUUUUGUGUGUGUGUGUGGCAGUUUUAAGUUAUUGGUUUUCAAAAUCAGUACUUUUUAAUGGAAACAACUUGACCAAAAAUCUGUCACAGAAUUUUGAGACCAUUAAAACAAGUUUAAUGAGAAA